AUUAUUUGAGGUGGUAAAAUUCGUUGCCAACCACGAACCCUAUGGGUUAAAAAAGACGCAGGAGUCGCGAUGCCUGCCAAAUAAU
Blautia sp. CAG:257 is the source of this 85-nucleotide small RNA. It matches the Rfam family "skipping-rope RNA". From Rfam's summary of the family: Firmicutes, Fusobacteria, AlphaProteobacteria, Spirochaetes. Downstream gene The record is from Rfam. NCBI's taxonomy places the organism in Bacteria, Bacillati, Bacillota, Clostridia, Lachnospirales, Lachnospiraceae.